GGCGGUGUGCCCGAGUGGCCAAUGGGAGCGGACUGUAAAUCCGCCGGCUUAGCCUUCCCAGGUUCGAAUCCUGGCGCCGCCA
Streptomyces sp. AcH 505 is the source of this 82-nucleotide non-coding RNA. Lineage: Bacteria; Bacillati; Actinomycetota; Actinomycetes; Kitasatosporales; Streptomycetaceae. The record is from Rfam.